Sus scrofa (pig) is the source of this 1223-nucleotide non-coding RNA. Lineage: Eukaryota; Metazoa; Chordata; Mammalia; Artiodactyla; Suidae. The record is from RefSeq and is a predicted model, not a curated record.
AUAUAGGGCAAGGGCCCUUAUGGCUUCCAUGGCCUUAGGCACACAUUUCAAAGCUGCCCCAACUGUAGGACUUUGGCUCAUGGACCUAGUGCAGGUCUGCUUUCUUUCUAUCCCCUUUGAAACUUUUCCAUAAUCAGUGCCCUUGGCCCUGACACACUGGGGUUCAUAGCUAAAUUAUCCUUGUUCCAUGAGCCAUGUCUGAUACGCUGCUCUGGCUUCAGCCUGUUUAUCUUGGUAAACACUGCAAUCUGGGCCACACCUCUAGUCACGAGGAGCCAGGCUUUCAGUCAGCUAGCUCUGCAUAAAGAGUUACCUGCCACCCCUCCCCCACCUUGGGGUUCCUGCACAGUCACAUUACAGGUGAAUGCAAGAACCACUUUGCUGUUAUGAAGUCUGCAUUGCUGCCAGUGUCUUCUUAGAGGAUGGGAGCUGGUGCCUGUGGCUCGGCAGCAAGAAGAAACCUGGGGCUUAUUCAGUCGAAAAUGGCCAAGGCAGCUUCCAAACACGUCAGCCAAGCCAGGGUCAUGCAUCGAACUUGUGAAAAGAGGAGAAAGCAACGUGAUGACGAAAACUGGAGUGAUGUGGCCACAAGGAAUGCCAAGAGCCACCAGAAGCUGGAGCAAUCAAGGAAGGAUUCUCCCCUGGAGUCUCCAGAGGUAACAUGGCCCUUCUGAAACCUAGAGCUGUGAGGGCAUACAUUCCUGUUGUUUUAUGGCACCAAGCUUUUAGUAAUUUGUUACAGCAGCCACAGGAAACUAACACAGACUGUUGCCUGUAACUCUGAGAAAUUUUUGUCAAAAAGGAUGGCUUCAGCAGUGAGGAGGGAGGAUGAAAGAAAUAAGUGAGGGAGGUUAAGGACAAACUUCCAGUUACAAAAUAAAUGUCACCAGUAUAAAAUGUACAGUGUGGGGAAUACAGUCAAUAAUAGUGUAAUAUCUUUGUAUGGUGACAAAUAGUAACUAGAUUUAUCAUGGUGAUCGUUUUGUUAGGUAUAGAAAUACUGAUCACUAUAUUUCACACUAGGAACACACACAGUGUUGCAGGUCAAAACCCAACAAAUAUACAAACUUAUAGACAAAGAGAUAUGAUUUGUGGUUACUAGAGGCGGAGGUUGUGGGGCAGGGAAAUUGGAUGAAGCUGAUCAAAAUUACGAACGUCCUGAAGUUCCCACUGUGGUGCAAUGGGAUUGGUGGUGUCUCUGCAGUGCCUGGACACAGGUUCAA